Molecule: ribosomal RNA, 497 nt
Filed under: uncultured bacterium
Lineage: Bacteria
Description: partial 16S ribosomal RNA
Rfam family: Bacterial small subunit ribosomal RNA
Source: RNAcentral
GAUGAACGCUGGCGGCGCGCCUAAUACAUGCAAGUCGAGCGAACAGACGAGGAGCUUGCUCCUCUGACGUUAGCGGCGGACGUGUGAGUAACACGUGGAUAACCUACCUAUAAGACUGGGAUAACUUCGGGAAACCGGAGCUAAUACCGGAUAAUAUAUUGAACCGCAUGGUUCAAUAGUGAAAGACGGUUUUGCUGUCACUUAUAGAUGGAUCCGCGCCGCAUUAGCUAGUUGGUAAGGUAACGGCUUACCAAGGCAACGAUGCGUAGCCGACCUGAGCGGGUGCUCGGCCACACUAGAACUGAGACACGGUCCAGACUCCUACGGGAGGCAGCCGUAGGGAAUCAUCCGCCAUGGGCGAAAGCUUGACGGAGCAACGCCGCGUGAGUGAUGAAGGUCUUCGGAUCGUAAAACUCUGUUAUUAGGGAAGAACAAAUGUGUAAGUCACUAUGCACGUCUUGACGGUACCUAGUCAGAAAGCCACGGCUAACUACGUG